AUUUGGAAGUCUAAGAUUCCACUAAAAGUUAAAAUCUUUAUGUGGUAUCUUCGUAGGGUUGUGCUAACCAAAGACAAUCUUGCACGGCGCAGCUGGCCAGGAAGUAAGAAGUGUUGCUUUUGUGCUCAUGACGAGACAAUCAAACACCUAUUUUUCCAAUGCAAGUUUGCACGUUCUACAUGGUCAGUCAUCCAAAUAGCGUCAAAUUUGUAUCCGCCAACGAGUAUUGCCAAUAUAUUUGGUCAUUGGUUGGACGGAAUUUCAAAUAGUUUCAAAACGCUAAUAAGGGUGGGGCGUAUGCCACAAAAAUGCUUCUCCUCUGCAGGUUAUUUUCCGUUGUACGCACUCGCUUCAUACGUGGUCUACGCUACAACAGGCGGAGCACCAACCGCUGUUCAAGGCGGUGUGUACGCGGUUGGAGCAGGCGGCUAUGGAGGUUUUUUCCCAACAUGGGUGGCAGCAUAA
Molecule: ribosomal RNA, 465 nt
Filed under: Triticum aestivum (bread wheat)
Lineage: Eukaryota; Viridiplantae; Streptophyta; Magnoliopsida; Poales; Poaceae
Description: partial small subunit ribosomal RNA
Source: RNAcentral